GUGUUCACUUUGGCAGCAUAUAUACUAAAAACUGAACGACACAGAGAUUAGCACGGCCCCUGCGCAAGGGUAACACGCAAAUUCAUGAAGAGUUCCAUAGUAAA
Small nuclear RNA from Lutra lutra (Eurasian river otter), 104 nucleotides. NCBI's taxonomy places the organism in Eukaryota, Metazoa, Chordata, Mammalia, Carnivora, Mustelidae. The record is from RefSeq and is a predicted model, not a curated record.